GGAAAGGUGAAAAGCACCCCGGAAGGGGAGUGAAAUAGAACCUGAAACCGUGUGCUUACAAGUAGUCAGAGCCCGUUAAUGGGUGAUGGCGUGCCUUUUGUAGAAUGAACCGGCGAGUUACGAUUUGAUGCAAGGUUAAGCAGUAAAUGUGGAGCCGUAGCGAAAGCGAGUCUGAAUAGGGCGUUUAGUAUUUGGUCGUAGACCCGAAACCAGGUGAUCUACCCUUGGUCAGGUUGAAGUUCAGGUAACACUGAAUGGAGGACCGAACCGACUUACGUUGAAAAGUGAGCGGAUGAACUGAGGGUAGCGGAGAAAUUCCAAUCGAACCUGGAGAUAGCUGGUUCUCUCCGAAAUAGCUUUAGGGCUAGCCUCAAGUGAUGAUUAUUGGAGGUAGAGCACUGUUUGGACGAGGGGCCCCUCUCGGGUUACCGAAUUCAGACAAACUCCGAAUGCCAAUUAAUUUAACUUGGGAGUCAGAACAUGGGUGAUAAGGUCCGUGUUCGAAAGGGAAACAGCCCAGACCACCAGCUAAGGUCCCAAAAUAUAUGUUAAGUGGAAAAGGAUGUGGCGUUGCCCAGACAACUAGGAUGUUGGCUUAGAAGCAGCCAUCAUUUAAAGAGUGCGUAAUAGCUCACUAGUCGAGUGACACUGCGCCGAAAAUGUACCGGGGCUAAACAUAUUACCGAAGCUGUGGAUUGUCCUUUGGACAAUGGUAGGAGAGCGUUCUAAGGGCGUUGAAGCAUGAUCGUAAGGACAUGUGGAGCGCUUAGAAGUGAGAAUGCCGGUGUGAGUAGCGAAAGACGGGUGAGAAUCCCGUCCACCGAUUGACUAAGGUUUCCAGAGGAAGGCUCGUCCGCUCUGGGUUAGUCGGGUCCUAAGCUGAGGCCGACAGGCGUAGGCGAUGGAUAACAGGUUGAUAUUCCUGUACCACCUAUAAUCGUUUUAAUCGAUGGGGGGACGCAGUAGGAUAGGCGAAGCGUGCGAUUGGAUUGCACGUCUAAGCAGUAAGGCUGAGUAUUAGGCAAAUCCGGUACUCAUUAAGGCUGAGCUGUGAUGGGGAGAAGACAUUGUGUCUUCGAGUCGUUGAUUUCACACUGCCGAGAAAAGCCUCUAGAUAGAAAAUAGGUGCCCGUACCGCAAACCGACACAGGUAGUCAAGAUGAGAAUUCUAAGGUGAGCGAGCGAACUCUCGUUAAGGAACUCGGCAAAAUGACCCCGUAACUUCGGGAGAAGGGGUGCUCUUUAGGGUUAACGCCCAGAAGAGCCGCAGUGAAUAGGCCCAAGCGACUGUUUAUCAAAAACACAGGUCUCUGCUAAACCGUAAGGUGAUGUAUAGGGGCUGACGCCUGCCCGGUGCUGGAAGGUUAAGAGGAGUGGUUAGCUUCUGCGAAGCUACGAAUCGAAGCCCCAGUAAACGGCGGCCGUAACUAUAACGGUCCUAAGGUAGCGAAAUUCCUUGUCGGGUAAGUUCCGACCCGCACGAAAGGCGUAACGAUUUGGGCACUGUCUCAACGAGAGACUCGGUGAAAUCAUAGUACCUGUGAAGAUGCAGGUUACCCGCGACAGGACGGAAAGACCCCGUGGAGCUUUACUGUAGCCUGAUAUUGAAAUUCGGCACAGCUUGUACAGGAUAGGUAGGAGCCUUUGAAACGUGAGCGCUAGCUUACGUGGAGGCGCUGGUGGGAUACUACCCUAGCUGUGUUGGCUUUCUAACCCGCACCACUUAUCGUGGUGGGAGACAGUGUCAGGCGGGCAGUUUGACUGGGGCGGUCGCCUCCUAAAAGGUAACGGAGGCGCUCAAAGGUUCCCUCAGAAUGGUUGGAAAUCAUUCAUAGAGUGUAAAGGCAUAAGGGAGCUUGACUGCGAGACCUACAAGUCGAGCAGGGUCGAAAGACGGACUUAGUGAUCCGGUGGUUCCGCAUGGAAGGGCCAUCGCUCAACGGAUAAAAGCUACCCCGGGGAUAACAGGCUUAUCUCCCCCAAGAGUUCACAUCGACGGGGAGGUUUGGCACCUCGAUGUCGGCUCAUCGCAUCCUGGGGCUGUAGUCGGUCCCAAGGGUUGGGCUGUUCGCCCAUUAAAGCGGUACGCGAGCUGGGUUCAGAACGUCGUGAGACAGUUCGGUCCCUAUCCGUCGUGGGCGUAGGAAAUUUGAGAGGAGCUGUCCUUAGUACGAGAGGACCGGGAUGGACAUACCUCUGGUGUACCAGUUGUCGUGCCAACGGCAUAGCUGGGUAGCUAUGUGUGGACGGGAUAAGUGCUGAAAGCAUCUAAGCAUGAAGCCCCCCUCAAGAUGAGAUUUCCCAACUUCGGUUAUAAGAUCCCUCAAAGAUGAUGAGGUUAAUAGGUUCGAGGUGGAAGCAUGGUGACAUGUGGAGCUGACGAAUACUAA
This 2390-nucleotide ribosomal RNA is filed under the name Staphylococcus aureus. RNAcentral's name for it is "partial 23S ribosomal RNA". It matches the Rfam family "Bacterial large subunit ribosomal RNA", at positions 508 to 2904 of the family's 2925-position model. Lineage: Bacteria; Bacillati; Bacillota; Bacilli; Caryophanales; Staphylococcaceae. The record is from RNAcentral.